GUGUUGUAGCCCUUCGCCACCACGAGCGCUACCGUGCCUACGGUCGUCGGGGCGAACCCUACCACUUUCUAUUGUCCCCCGAGAAGCCGGUAGGGUUCGCCCCGACGACCGAGAUCAAGUUGAAAUCCCUCCAUGUCCUCUCUGGCAGUAUUUCCCGCGCAGUUUCUCAGUACGUGGCGUUAUCAGUCUGAUGACCCUUUCGUUGUCAACCGCGACCUCGCUGUGAGGAUGACAAGUGUUGUAGUGGGGAAAUUCUUGUGAUGAAUUUUACCUUAUGGAUUCAUCGCACGGGGAGUGGAACGUUAGUUUCAAAAAUUAUUGCUAUUCCCCUAUUUGUCAAAGUCAACUUGUUAGCGGUUGACCCAUUGCAAAGCUGCAUAUUCUGUAGACAGAGAAGCUGGCAUGGUAAUUAUGAUUUCAGUUAUUUAGUGCAUCGUGAGUGGAACCAGCAAGUAAAGUACAUCAUAAUUUGUUACAAUUUAAAUAGAAAAGAAAAGAAAAAUCUUUGGUUUUUUACUGGUGAUAAAAAUUUUAGGAACCUUGUUAGUCAGUGUGGAUGAGCUAGUUGAAUUCACAUGUCCAAAAUUGAAUUGCAGAUUCUCUGUACCACAGACUACAUCUGUACAAAUACUGCACUGUAAGUAAAUUUGAAUUUCCAUCAUGUUGGUUAGCACUAGUACUAGCUAAAAGUCAACGACAGAAGAGUUGCUUAAAAGUAAUUUUUAAUUUGUUUUUCCAAGAAUGGUUAAUGGUGUAAAGUUUUAAUUAAAACAUUUUAGCUUCUACAGGAAAACCAAUUCCGAAAAUCAUGUGAGUGAACUGCUGAUGGAUAUCCAAUUGAAAAAAUUUCUCUUCAGAAUUCUUUAAAAAAAAAAUAAGACUGUAAAAAAAAUAGUGAUUUCCAAUAUUAUUUAAAAGCUUUACCAUGAUGUAAUAACAAUUUGGUUCAGGACAGCCUUAAACAAAACUCUUCUUUAACCCCAGGUUUUUAAAAUGAAGUGUAGCAGAUAUGACUUGUUUAACAUAGUUAUGGCUACGUCUACCCAUGGCUGGAAAAGGUGAACAGCUGACUGUUGUAUGUGUGACAGUGUGAGAUUGAAGAUUUCCUAGACAGAAUUCUGGCUACUUGUCAUUCGGUACCACCUUUUAUGUAAUUUUAGACAACAUCCAGUAAGUCAUAUCAAUUAAAAUUGUAAUCCUUAUUAUAAACACAUCUGUGAACAAAGAGUUAGCUUCAGGAUUGAGAUUCCUCAACACAUACAACAAGGACCCCAUUUCAAGUUGUAGCAUCCAGCCUUUUCUCAACUGCCAUGUAGCUUCUUUUUACAGGAUAGAACAAGGAUUCUCCAUUGCAGUUGGAGAUGUUACAUAUGGGCUGUUAGGCAGAGCACUGCUUAAGAAAGCAGUGCAAUUGGGUAAGUAUGACUUCGGACGUUUCUGCUAGGAGUUCAAGAAUCGCGAAGCAAUUGGAACAACCACAUCUGUACUGGAAUUAGUAUGAUGGGAUAUUGGUAUGAAAAUGAUAUUGCAAGUUUAUUUCUUACAGGGUGAUCAGAAUAACCAAAAAAUUGGGAACAGUGACCAAAACACGGAAAUGUGAAGUUUAUUUUCAUGGAUUCUCUGAAAUUGAAUUUUGGUUUUGAUCGAUGAAACCGCUGUUCCAGCUACAGGAUCUUUGCAAAUGGAUAUCUUGCCCGACCACGAAGCUUUGCAUUCGAUGACAUUUAAUCCCGUCUCCAAGGAGUCUGAGGAACUACCGUUAAUGCAGAUGACGAAGAGAGUCAGGAUGAUACGAAAACUAAAUUCUCAGAUGUAGUGUCUGGAAUUUUAUCUAUAACCGUGUGCCUGUAAAUGUAUAUGGCCCCGUCCAAUUGUAUGCUAUGAUUCCCUUUAGUUUAAGCAGAAAGUGUUUUUGUUUUUUUGUGAGAUGUCUUGUCAUUAUUACAAGUACUGCAGCCAA
This is a long non-coding RNA of Daphnia magna, 1960 nucleotides long. RefSeq lists it as uncharacterized. The transcript has 2 exons. The record is from RefSeq and is a predicted model, not a curated record. Lineage: Eukaryota; Metazoa; Arthropoda; Branchiopoda; Diplostraca; Daphniidae.